GUGGGCGUAGCUCAGUUGGUAGAGCACAGGAUUGUGGCUCCUGGUGUCGUGGGUUCGAUUCCCUUCGCCCACCCCA
This 76-nucleotide transfer RNA is filed under the name Pseudomonas aeruginosa. RNAcentral's name for it is "tRNA-His". It matches the Rfam family "tRNA". Rfam says of the family: Transfer RNA (tRNA) molecules are approximately 80 nucleotides in length. Their secondary structure includes four short double-helical elements and three loops (D, anti-codon, and T loops). Lineage: Bacteria; Pseudomonadati; Pseudomonadota; Gammaproteobacteria; Pseudomonadales; Pseudomonadaceae. The record is from RNAcentral.